AAAAAGUUGAGCUUCACUUUCUUGAAAUCUCCAAAACUUAGGGGCUAUAUAUAGCCCACCAACAAAAUAGACCAGCUUAUACAUUUGGUCAUAUGACAUGCACCAAUGUGAAGAAACUAGCAAGUAUAAAAGUGUUGAAUACCUAUCAGCCCUACCAGUUAUAGAAGUCAGAAACUAAGGCAAGCAAAUUAUAGAUGCUAUUUCAGGACUUCUUGCUAGUUUAAAUUAGCAUUACAAAGUAGCAAGCAUUACAAUUCGGACUUCUUGCUUGUAAUUUUUAGGACCAUAGUAACACUCCCUUUAUUUGCUUGUUGCAAACUUUCUAUCAUUUCUUUAUCAUUUCACUUAGAUUUAGUUUUCACAAAUGAAAACAUGGAGAAUGUUGUUGAUUUUUUGUUUCUAUGUAGUUAAAAUGGCUAGUCGUCGGAUGUCUCUUAGUGUUCAUUGGUAUGGACAGUUAGUUAUGGAUGGAAAUAGUCCCCGAUAUGUCGAUAGUCGAAAGAAAUUGAUCGCGAUUCGUUCAGAUACGACCUAUACGAAUUUUGAGAGGGAAAUCUAUCAUUUAGUAAAUUGUAAUAGAGAAAAAUAUUGUCUUAAAUAUAUAAUUCGAUGCCCUACGAGAGCGAAUGAAUAUAUUGCUCAUGAUAUAGUAGAUGAUGAAUAAUUGGAAGGAUUAAUUGGAUUGUUUGAACAUUAUGGAUGUGUUUCGCUAAACAUCGAGAAAGAUUUAUAUCCGUCAGAGA
Molecule: long non-coding RNA, 743 nt
Filed under: Ananas comosus (pineapple)
Lineage: Eukaryota; Viridiplantae; Streptophyta; Magnoliopsida; Poales; Bromeliaceae
Description: long non-coding RNA (ACOM_LNC024524)
Source: RNAcentral